Sander lucioperca (pikeperch) is the source of this 210-nucleotide long non-coding RNA. RefSeq lists it as uncharacterized. NCBI's taxonomy places the organism in Eukaryota, Metazoa, Chordata, Actinopteri, Perciformes, Percidae. The transcript has 2 exons. The record is from RefSeq and is a predicted model, not a curated record.
CGCAUGCAUGUGACUCCUGGCUCUGAGAGGAGGGACUCAGCUCCGUUAGGCAUUCGUUUAGACUGGCUCCCAUGAUAUGCACCUAUCAUGCUAUACACUGUUGGAAAGAGAAUCAUUUGAUUAAAUUCACCUCACUCCGGCAGAGCUCAUGUCGGUGGAAAGAGGACAGGAGAAGCUUUAUUUUGUUAAGAUAUGACCGGCCAAAGCUUG